This 507-nucleotide ribosomal RNA is filed under the name uncultured bacterium. RNAcentral describes it as "bacterial SSU rRNA". It matches the Rfam family "Bacterial small subunit ribosomal RNA", at positions 28 to 531 of the family's 1533-position model. The record is from RNAcentral.
GACGAACGCUGGCGGCGUGCUUAACACAUGCAAGUCGAACGGAUUGCUUGGUGCUUGCACUGAGUGGUUAGUGGCGAACGGGUGAGUAACACGUGAGUAACCUGCCCCCUUCUUUGGGAUAAGCACCUGAAAGGGUGUCUAAUACUGAUUAUUCUGCUGGAAUCGCAUGGUUUUGGUUGGAAAGGUUUUUCUGGUGGGGGAUGGGCUCGCGGCUUAUCAGCUUGUUGGUGGGGUAAUGGCUUACCAAGGCUUUGACGGGUAACCGGCCUGAGAGGGUGACCGGUCACAUUGGGACUGAGAUACGGCCCAGACUCCUACGGGAGGCAGCAGUGGGGAAUAUUGCACAAUGGACGGAAGUCUGAUGCAGCGACGCCGCGUGAGGGAUGAAGGCCUUCGGGUUGUAAACCUUUUUCGCUUUUGACCAAGGCAGCAUUUGGUGUUGUUGAGGGUAUGAGGUAAAGAAGCUCCGGCUAACUACGUGCCAGCAGCCGCGGUAAAAUGCGUACU